This 2321-nucleotide long non-coding RNA is filed under the name Salmo salar (Atlantic salmon). RNAcentral's name for it is "lncRNA (ENSSSAG00000114045.1)". Lineage: Eukaryota; Metazoa; Chordata; Actinopteri; Salmoniformes; Salmonidae. The record is from RNAcentral.
GGGCGCAGGCACAGGACUCACUAGGCUGGGGAGACCCACAGGAGGCCUGGUCCUGGGAGGAGGCACAGGAUAAACCGGGCUGUGGGGGAGCACUGGAGUUCUGGUGCGUAGGCUUGCCACCCAAACUCCAGGCUGAAUGCCCACCUUUGCCCGGCACGGGCGAAGCGCAGGCAUAGGCCGAACUGAGCCCUCCCAGCACCCCGGAGACACAGUACGCAGCACCGGUGCAGGAUAGCCUGGACCGAGACAGCGCACCGGAGACCAGAUGCGCUGAGCUGGCACAUUCCGACCUGCCUCGAUGCCCACUCUCGCAUGGCACUUGCGGGGGGCUGGCAUGUAGCGUUCCGGGCUAUAAACGCGUACUGGGGACACCGUGCGCUUUACUGUAUAACACGGUGCCUGACCAGUACUGCGCUGCCUCCUGUAAGCAGGUCUCCAACCUGACUCUGCCACACUGUGCACGGGCUGCCUCUCGUGCCUGUUGCGCUCCCUUGCCUCAUACCAGCGCCUCUCAGCUAUCGCCGCCUCGAUCUCCCACUGCGGGCGGCGAUACUCCCCAGCUUGAGCCCAUGGUCCUUUACCGUCCAGUAGUUCCUCCCAUCUCCACGAGUCCAUACUGCCCCUCUCCUGGUGCUUCUCCUUCCUCCGUUGCUUGGUCCGUUUCUUGGUGGGUGAUUCUGUAAUGGCCGUCGUAGUAAUGAAACCAGGGUGAAGCGGAGGAUGUAACAGGUGUGCCUUGUUAAAAGUACAUUUGUGGAAUUUCUUUCCUUCUUAAUGCAUUUGAGACAAUCAGUUGUGUUGUGACAAGAUAGGAGUGGUAUACAGAAGAUAGCCCUAUUUGGUAAAAGACCAAGUCCAUAUUAUGGUAAGAACAGCUCAAAUAAGCAAAGAAAAACGACAUUCCAUCAUUACUUUAAGACAUGAAGGUCAGUCAAUAAGGAACAUUUGAAGAAAUUUGAAAGUUUCUUCAAGUGCAGUCGCAAAAACCAUCAAGCGCUAUGAUGAAACUGGCUCUCAUGAGGACUGCCACAGGAAAUUAAGACCCAGAGUUUGUCACUCCCUGAUCUGUUUCACCUGUUCCUGUGAUUGACUCCACCCCCUCCAGGUGUCGCUUAUUUUCCCCAGUGUAUUUAUACCUGUGUUUCCUGUCUCUCUGUGCCAGUUCGUCUUGUAUGUUAGUCAAGUCAACCAGCAUGUUUUUCCUGCCUGCCCUUGAUUCUGCCUGCCCUUGAUUCUGCCUGCCCUUCGGUACCUUUUGGACUCUGAACUGGUUUUGACCCUUUUGCCUGUCCACAACCAUUCUCUUGCCUUACCGUAUUGGAUUAAAUAAUAUUGUAAGACUCCAACCAUCUGCCUCCUGUGUCUGCAUCUGGGUCUCACCUUGUGUCAUGAUAGAGUUACCUCUGCUGCAGAGGACAAGUUCAUUAGAGUUACAAGCCUCAGAAAUUUCAUCCCAGAUAAAUGCUUCAGUGUUCAAGUAACAGACACAUCUCAACAUCAACUGUUCAGAAGAGAAUGUGUGAACCAGGCCUUCAUGGUUGAAUUGCUGCAAAGAAACUACUACUAAAGGACACCAAUAAGAAGAAGAGACUUGCUUGGGCCAAGAAACACAAGCAAUGGACAUUACACCGGUGGAAAUCUGUCCUUGGUCUGAUGAGUCCAAAUUGGAGAUUUUUGGUUCCAAUCACCGUGUCUUUGUGAGACGCAUAGUUGGUGAACGAAUGACCUCUGCAUGUGUGGUUCCCACCGUGAAGCAUAGAGGAGGAGUUGUGGGGGUGCUUUGCUGGUAACACUGUCUGUGAUGUAUUUAGAAUUCAAGGCACACUUAACCAGCAUGGCUAUCACAGCAUUAUGCAGCAAUACGCCAUCCCAUCUGGUUUGCGCUUAGUGGGACGAUAAUUUGUUUUUCAACAGGACAAUGACCCAACACACCUCCAGACUGUGUAAGGGCUAUUUGAUCAAGAAGGAGAGUGAUGGAAUGCUGCAUUAGAUGACCUGGCCUCAACAAUCACCCAACCUCAACCCAAUUGAGAUGGUUUGGGAUCAGUUGGACUGCAGAGGUAAGGAAAAGCAGCCAACAAGUGCUCAGCACAUGUGGGAACUCCUUCAAGACUGUUUAGAAAAGCAUUCCAGGUGAAGCUGGUUGAGAGAAUGCCAAGAGUGUGCAAAGCUGUCAUCAAGGCAAAAGGUGGCUACUUUGAAAUCAAAAUAUAUUUUCAUUUGUUUAACACUUUUUUGGUUAUUACAUAGUUUGUCAUCACUAUUAUUCUACGAUGUAGAAAAUAGUAAAAUUAAAAACCCUUGAAUGAGUAGGUGUGUCC